UCCUCACCCGCCGCGGGAAGACCAGCUCUUCGCCCCGCCACACCCCGGGGAGCCUCUUGGGUCGCAGUGGACAAGGGAUGGCAAUAAUAUCCAAACUCCACUGUGCACAGGUUCACCUACCAACUCUAUUAGGAUGUAAUCCAGGAUCUACCACUGGAGUUACACCUCUUGAUUUCAGCGGGUGAGACUUAUGCGUGUUGUCCCAACUGGAGAGGAGGUGGCAAUGCAGAAAAGAAUCCUUCCAGCUUGAUGCCAGGAGGCCAACAUAUCUUUAAACAUCGCAUAAAGUGGGACCCAGUUAACUGCAUCACUUAACUUAAUGGGAAAAAGAUUUCUCAUAUGUGGCCAGCUGGAUGCCUAUGGGAAACCUGAAAGCAGACCUGAGUGCAAAAACACCCUUCCCACUUGGGAUUUCCAGCAGCUGGGAUACUGCCUGGAGGAGGAAGACAAGGUGAGCAAGAAUCUAGCUGUCAGUCUGGAUCCUGAAUCUACACCCAAUACUCGAACUCUUCCACUGCAGAGGCUGUGGCUAACAGGAGUGGCAAAAGAGAAUCUGGAGCCUGGGCAUGUGCCAUGACAAAGGAGAAUGAGGGAAAUGGAUUUGGGGUAGGGAAGCAGAUAUCCCAGGAUCUCCUAAAGAGGGGAUUGGCAAUAAACGCUUCCUGAGGAUGGGAAGGGCAGCCAGGAUGGGGCCCUGGACCAGAUUUUAUCUGCUGGGAAUUUAUUGGUAGACUCAGUUGUUUACUUUGUGUGCCCGGAUUUUUAGUUUGUAAAGGGACAGCAAGGAUCCUAUUACUUUACAAACCAAACGUAGCUUGCCCCUCCCAUCUUUGGAUUUAUUAAUACUUUUCAUGACUCCUCCUCUGAUGGAGGUCAUCAAUAUCCCCAUUAUACAAAUGAGAUGGCAGAAACAAGGCCAAGAGACAAUGACUUGCUGAAACUUGCCCAAUGAAUUGUAAAACGAGGAAAGAAUCGAACCCAUCGCUUCUGCAGCCUAGUCCAUCAUUCCACCCGUUAGUGCUCUGAAAUCUGUCUGAUUGUUGACUGCUUGCUAGUGGGGUCUGCCUUCCUGCUGCACCCCUCAAAGCCAGGCCAACAGAGCCGUGGGGUUUUGCCCCUCUUACAGAGCAAGCCUAUGCGUGUUUACUCAGAAGUAAGUCCCACUGAGUUCAAGGAAACAUACACAGGAUUCCAGGCAGCGAUAGCUACUUUUGAUAUCAUAUUCUUCUUAUGAGAGAGAAAAAGAUGGGGGAGGGAGAGAGGUAGUUGCAUUGUCCUCUGCAAAAGGAUGACAUAUUUCACCAAUGGGCCAUAGAGAUAAUCCUAGGGGCAGUGUCUUCAGAAACUGCCCUGCUCUCUUUGAUGGAUUUAGCUGUCAAUAGUCAGAGAGCAAUUUUCUAGAAGCCACCUAUUCCAAGACACUUCCCGUACAAUAUCAGGAUCAACCCCAACCCAUCUCCCCCCCGCCACUCUUUCCUCUGUUCUUUCUCUCCUCCCACCCCAACCUUCUGACCCAUCUCCAGGUCCAGGCCCCAUUAAGCACAAAGGCCCCUCUCCCUAGCCAGGGCUGACUAGUGUGUGAAUUCCCUGCCCAGACGACCAGCUGAGGGAGUGGGGAGGGGGCUGUAAUCCAUGACGAAUGGCUGCCCCUAGGUACUGAAAAGC
Rhineura floridana is the source of this 1665-nucleotide long non-coding RNA. RefSeq lists it as uncharacterized. The record is from RefSeq and is a predicted model, not a curated record. The transcript is spliced from 5 exons. NCBI's taxonomy places the organism in Eukaryota, Metazoa, Chordata, Lepidosauria, Squamata, Rhineuridae.